Molecule: ribosomal RNA, 313 nt
Filed under: Pharaxonotha sp. D0250
Lineage: Eukaryota; Metazoa; Arthropoda; Insecta; Coleoptera; Erotylidae
Description: partial 16S large subunit ribosomal RNA
Rfam family: Bacterial large subunit ribosomal RNA (bases 178-313)
Source: RNAcentral
GACCCUAUAGAGUUUGAUAUUUAAUUAAUAAAUUAUUUUUUAGUAUUUAAUAUUAAUUUAUUAAUUAAAUAUUUGAUUGGGGUGAUUGAAAAAUUUGAAUAACUUUUUUUAUAUUUAAACAUUAAUUUAUGAUUAUUUGAUCCAUUAUUUAUGAUUAUAAGAUUAAAUUACCUUAGGGAUAACAGCGUAAUUUUUUUUGAGAGUUCAAAUCGAAAAAAAAGAUUGCGACCUCGAUGUUGGAUUAAAAUUUAUUUUUGGUGUAGAAGCUAAAUUUAUUGGGUCUGUUCGACCUUUAAAAUUUUACAUGAUCUGA